RNAcentral lists this ribosomal RNA (491 nucleotides) under uncultured bacterium. RNAcentral describes it as "partial 16S ribosomal RNA". It matches the Rfam family "Bacterial small subunit ribosomal RNA", at positions 29 to 506 of the family's 1533-position model. The record is from RNAcentral.
AGUGAACGCUGGCGGUAGGCCUAACACAUGCAAGUCGAACGGCAGCACAGUAAGAGCUUGCUCUUACGGGUGGCGAGUGGCGGACGGGUGAGGAAUACAUCGGAAUCUACUUUUUCGUGGGGGAUAACGUAGGGAAACUUACGCUAAUACCGCAUACGACCUACGGGUGAAAGCAGGGGAUCUUCGGACCUUGCGCGAUUGAAUGAGCCGAUGUCGGAUUAGCUAGUUGGCGGGGUAAAGGCCCACCAAGGCGACGAUCCGUAGCUGGUCUGAGAGGAUGAUCAGCCACACUGGAACUGAGACACGGUCCAGACUCCUACGGGAGGCAGCAGGGGGGAAUAUUGGACAAUGGGCGCAAGCCUGAUCCAGCCAUACCGCGUGGGUGAAGAAGGCCUUCGGGUUGUAAAGCCCUUUUGUUGGGAAAGAAAAGCAGCAGGUUAAUACCCCGCUGUUCUGACAGUACCCAAAGAAUAAGCACCGGCUAACUUCGU